UUUUAUUUGAUAAAGCUAUCGACUUAUUUGAUUUUAAAAUUUUAAAAAUUACUUUUCACUGCUUGGUCGGAUCUCCAACACCCUUUGACCCUUAAUGCUCAAGAUGACUUUAGAAUUAAACUAUCAACUAUUAAUCAGUUCAAACGCAUUGUGUUUCAACCUCAUAAAUUUUGUAACUCCUUAUAAGAAUUACCCUGGCCA
This 201-nucleotide long non-coding RNA is filed under the name Elaeis guineensis (African oil palm). RNAcentral describes it as "long non-coding RNA (EGUI_LNC060784)". Lineage: Eukaryota; Viridiplantae; Streptophyta; Magnoliopsida; Arecales; Arecaceae. The record is from RNAcentral.